UUACUAAUAUAUGCAGGUGAGAUUCAUUUCCAAUCUAGUGAUAUACUGUGUAUAUAAGAAUGUGCUUCGUAUUUUGCUUAUACUUGGUGAAUUUUUCAAUUUUUAUACAGCCUUGGGAAAGUGAGUUCAUAUAUUCACAGCGGGUAUGGGCUGAAAAUCCUCUUAAGAGGCAGGAAGCUCAGGCCAGAAAGAACUGAGCUUGUCGGUUGGUGACUAUGUCAUUGUGCGAAACCUAUUUUUUAUUUUCUUGAGGCAACUUUCUCUAUUUUUUAUUUUCAAGUUUGCAGUCAUAACCUUGGGAAGUAGUUGUAGACUAUGUUUGUAUGUGAAAUCUUAAAGGUUUUCAAAAGGGCUUGCUCAUGUUGAUUACAUGCUCAACCAUUUUCUAGAGGUAUGUUGUUUUUAUUGCAAUACUUUUCUGACAUUCAUAAUGCUCAUACUUCUAUUCUGUUAGUUUAGGUGACUCCUUUUCAUGGCAAUUAUACUUCUGGCUAUCGCUGUAGUGAAGCAAGCAUUGGACGUUGACCCUACAAACUUAGAGAUGCUUCAUGCACUUGGUGUGAGUCAUGCAAAUGGUCAGUUGUUGCUUCCUUAUCUAAUUACAUGUUGUAUAUGAUGUAUAUUCACUAAAAGCAAUUUUUCUAACAUAGAGUCUUUGGAGUUGUUUGGGUUCAGAGUUGCCGUAGUUUGUGGUUAUUGUAAUUUGUGGGAUUAUAUAAUAGUUUUGUGGAGUUAGAAUAGUUUGACUUUGGGGUGUAGGCUAUUUUAGUCUGACUAUAUAGUUUGUGUUUGUGGUGAAGAUUUAGUCAUUGGUGGUUGGUUCAUUGUACUGUAACUUGCCUGUUCAAGGCUCUUUGGCAUUGGCUUUCUUGAUGGAGCAAUAAAGGUGUUGUAGAAUUGCUCUUCAUCACAAUUCUCAGAGGAUAUGAUGUAUGUAUAUCUAAAAGGUAGGUGUAGGAAAUAUUUUUCAUGUAACAACCAACAGGAUGCCAUAUUUAUUAUUUAUUCACAAAGUUCAUUGUUGUUUCUAGUUUGUUGCCAUAUUUUUCAGUCAGGUUAUGGCAAGGAGGAAAUACCGCUGGCCCUGGUGUGGUGUUUUUUCUUUUGAAGAUUAAAAAAAAAAAUCUUUGUGAUAUGUGGUUUGCUUGCUUUGAACGACCUUUUUUUCUCUUAAAUAAGUUGGUUUCUGUUUUUUACAUUUUUGUUUUGUUUGUGAUAUGGAUACUUAGUUACGUAGGUUUCGGUUGCGAGACUUGCAAUUAUAACUAGGUCAUAAAAUUGUUACUUAUCAAUUCAACCAUCUUGAUGUCUUUUACAGGGAGAUAUCACUAAACAAAUGACUGCAAUAGAAGAAAUGGUUGCAAGUGAGUACAAUUAGCCAGACCCUUAUCUUUGUGACAAGAUCUUGAAGAUGGUCAUUUGUGAAGCGUUCUAGUUUGCUAUUAGUUGCAAUUUUAGUUAUUGCUCUCUCAAUAUAUUCUUUUUCUUUCUUUCUUUCUUUUUUUCCAAAGGAUGAUCAAUGUAUAAUAAUUAAGCUUCAUAACUUCUUUGUAUUUGGAGCCAAGUUGUAUAUAAAUGUACACAUUAUUAAGAUUUCAUUUUGUAUAUGUACAAGUAAAAGAUUUCAUUUUUAA
Molecule: long non-coding RNA, 1634 nt
Organism: Cucumis melo (muskmelon)
Lineage: Eukaryota; Viridiplantae; Streptophyta; Magnoliopsida; Cucurbitales; Cucurbitaceae
Exons: 2
Source: RefSeq, a predicted model, not a curated record